This 511-nucleotide ribosomal RNA is filed under the name uncultured bacterium. RNAcentral's name for it is "bacterial SSU rRNA". It matches the Rfam family "Bacterial small subunit ribosomal RNA", at positions 8 to 526 of the family's 1533-position model. The record is from RNAcentral.
AGAGUUUGAUCAUGGCUCAGGAUGAACGCUAGCGGCGGGCUUAAUACAUGCAAGUCGAACGGUGUAGCAAUACAUAGUGGCGGACGGGUGCGGAACACGUAUGCAACCUACCUGGGGGCGGGGGACAACGGGAAGAAAUUCCCGCUAAUACCGCAUGAGACAACUGAACCGCAUGGUUUAAUUGUAAAAGCCUUCGGGCACCUUUAGAUGGGCAUGCGUCCGAUUAGCUGGUUGGCGGGGUAACGGCCCACCAAGGCGACGAUCGGUAGCUGGUCUGAGAGGAUGAUCAGCCACACUGGCACUGAGACACGGGCCAGACUCCUACGGGAGGCAGCAGUAGGGAAUAUUGGGCAAUGGGCGAAAGCCUGACCCAGCCACGCCGCGUGCAGGAUGAAGGUCCAUAGGAUUGUAAACUGCUUUGGCAGGGGAUUAAACCCGUUAGAACUUAACGGAUUGAAGGUACCCUGAGAACAAGCACCGGCAAACUACGUGCCAGCAGCCGCGGUAAUUC